This 433-nucleotide ribosomal RNA is filed under the name uncultured bacterium. RNAcentral describes it as "partial 16S ribosomal RNA". It matches the Rfam family "Bacterial small subunit ribosomal RNA", at positions 29 to 507 of the family's 1533-position model. The record is from RNAcentral.
AACGAACGCUGGCGGCAUGCCUAACACAUGCAAGUCGAACGAGACCUUCGUGUCUAGUGGCGCACGGGUGCGUAACGCGUGGGAACCUGCCCUUAGGUUCGGAAUAACUCCCCGUAAGGGGUGCUAAUACCGGAUAAUUUCUUCUGACCAAAGAUUUAUCGCCUUUGGAUGGGCCCGCGUUGGAUUAGCUAGUUGGUAGGGUAAAAGCCUACCAAGGCGACGAUCCAUAGCUGGUCUGAGAGGAUGAUCAGCCACACUGGGACUGAGACACGGCCCAGACUACUACGGGAGGCAGCAGUGGGGAAUAUUGGACAAUGGGCGAAAGCCUGAUCCAGCAAUGCCGCGUGAGUGAUGAAGGCCUUAGGGUUGUAAAGCUCUUUUAUCCGGGAUGAUAAUGACAGUACCGGGAGAAUAAGCUCCGGCUAACUCCGUG